CAAGGUCCAGAGCAGCUGGGUGGCAGGUUCCUGGAGAUGGCUUUCAAGCAUGGCGCUGUGGUCACAGUUGCCUUUGGAGGAAGAGGGGAGUAACGGGGCCAGAGGCUUGCUUGGAAGGAUGCAUCUCAGUGCUACGGGAGCCAGGACCCAAGGACAUGGAGGGAACGGUCCCCACCAAGUCCCCAGGGACGUCCCACUGCAGGCCAAGAGCAGACGAGCAGAGUGACCCAGACGGCCUCCAAGCUGGCUUAUUUGCAGGACAGGGAUCUUCCCUGGCCUUCUUCCCCUGCUGACUCUCACCACCCUUCUAGAACGAUCGCCCCCAACCUCAACAGGCACCCGGGUCGCCCCGUGAGGCUCCCAGGCCCAGCCUUGGAAGAAUUCCUGAGCUCCACCUACAGGAGCCAGACACAAAGCCCAGUGCACACUUUAGAGGAAGGAGAACAAGGACCAAGCCCGGGAUGUGUGUGCUUCUUGUGCCGAGGACAAGAAGACAUGCAGGGCCCGUGAAGAGCUCCGGGAGGGAGGGAGGAGGCGGCUGCAGCGAGGUAGGCUGGGUCGGCGGACACAGGAGUAGACCCCAGGGGUUCCAUGGACGUGGCCUCUACCUGUGUACAGCCAACGAUCCCCCUGGUCCUAAUGACCCUCCUACUGUACACCUGAGAGCACUGAGGCCCAGAGCAGUUAAGGAAGGGCACACACCUUCCCACGCACCUGGACUUCAGAUCUGCGCCCUGGGGAGCCAGCCGCAGAGACAGCCAGGGUCCUGACACGCUGUGAGGGCUCACUGCCUUGAACAGGUGGAGGGAUUGGGGUGGGGGACGCCUCUAAAGAGAAAGAGGAUCCGGUGCAGUGAUGCUCACCUGUCCUCCCAGCAGCUCAGGAGGCUGAGGCAGGAGGGUCUCGAGUUCAAAGCCAGCCUCAGCCACAGCGAGGCCCUAAGCAACUCGGUGAGACCCUGUCUCUAAAUAAAACACAGAACAGGGCUGGGGACGGGGCUCCGUGGUCGAGGCCCCUGAGAUCAAUCCUUGGUACCUAAAAGCAAAAGGCAGAGAAAGAGUGGGACCAACAGAGACGGAGAGAUGUAAAGCGUAAAGAACAGCAGAGGGAGAGGGUCAGGGCAGCCAGGGGCAGAGC
Ictidomys tridecemlineatus (thirteen-lined ground squirrel) is the source of this 1137-nucleotide non-coding RNA. Lineage: Eukaryota; Metazoa; Chordata; Mammalia; Rodentia; Sciuridae. The record is from RefSeq and is a predicted model, not a curated record.